RNAcentral lists this long non-coding RNA (3384 nucleotides) under Capsicum annuum. RNAcentral's name for it is "long non-coding RNA (CANN_LNC003797)". The record is from RNAcentral. Lineage: Eukaryota; Viridiplantae; Streptophyta; Magnoliopsida; Solanales; Solanaceae.
GUUUGCCUUCCUUGUUGAGAAGGAGACCGUUGUUCAUUCUUCACUGUCGAUGCUUUCCGAUGGAGGCUGGUUGCUGGUGAAGGGCUGUUGGUGAUGGGGUAAGUUUUCCAUAACGUGACCAAUGUGUCCGCAGCGCAUGCACAUUAUCCCCUCUCCCUCAUAAAUUACCUUCUGCUUAUGCGUUUCAAUGGUAACGGUGGUUAAGAGUGGCGUGUUCAGAGGUACUUCAAUACAUAUCCUUGCAUACCGUCGUCUAAGGGUUCCUGAGGUGCACGCAUCAAUCUUUAGGAGUUUGCCCAAUUUCUGUCUCACUUUCUCCAGUAUUGAUCUAUCGUAGUACUCAGUCGGCAAUUGGGGUAAUCUAACCCAAAUUGCCGUGUGGGUGAGCGUGAACUCAUCUGGUACAAAGCUAGGCACCCAUUGUUGUAUGGUUAGGAAUUUCCUUGCAACAAACCAGGGCCCUUGAUGUAGUACUUUGUUUGUAUUCUCUUGUUGAGCGAAUUUAACCGUGUAGAAGUCGCACCCCAGAUCUAUGAGAAUGAGGGGCUCUGUUGGUUUUCACAGUACAGCUAAUUUAUUUUUGAGGUAUUGAUGGGCUAGUUUCUUCCCAAAGAGUUUGAUUAUCAGUGAGUGUUGCCAUGGUUCUUGGAUUCGUCUGAUGUCAUCAUCAGAGAGGUGAAUAGCAUCGUGGGUAGGCUGACAGCUUUCAACCCCUUUGCCAGGGCGCUGGUGGUAUGUGACGUUUAGAUCUGGGCUUUUUUCUAUCAGUAUUUGUUUGAAGGAUGGCCUGGUUGAGAUGUCUUCGUCCAUGAAGGUAUUCGUGUCCGUUGGAUCCGGUGGUUUCGGUGGUGGUAUAGUUGGGGGGUUAAAGUGCUGGUUACUCAUGCAGAGAGAAAUUAAGACUUGUUAUUUCUGCGUUAAAUGUGAUGUAUUGUUGUAUGAAUGAUUCCCUGUGGGUUUCUUUUUCUUUGUGGACAAGAAAUAUAAGGGGGAGGGGGGAGGGGGAGGUAAGGUAGAAGGGUAUUGGGUAGUGAGGUGUUGUCUUUUAAUUGGAGGGGUUGUUAGGAUAGAAUUAAACCAAAAUAAAAUUUGUUAAGUGUUGUUAUUUUUGUCAUUUAUGGAUAUAAUCACAUGGGUGGGGAUAUGUGGUAAGGUGAGCUAAAAAAUAGAUAAAAUCAAUGUUGGGAGGGACAAAAUUAGGUGUCUACAGCAAAAUCAGACUUGAAAAUAAAUAAAUUGAAAAAUUAAAUUGACUCAAGUUGUGAAUUAAUACAAUAAUAAUAAUAAUAAUAAUAAUAAUAAUAAUAAUAAUAAUAAUAAUAAUAAUAAUAAUAAUAAAUAUAAUUAUUCUCAGAUUAGUUAUGAAUAAAUUGUGUAACUAAAAAUACGAAACAUAAUAUAUUACUUUAAAAUCAACGAUAACAAUAAUAUAAAUAUUAUUAUAUAUAUAAAUUUUAUAUUUCGCAGGUAAAUCUCGAAGAAUAAAUUUCCAGCAAAAUACGCACCACAAAAUCCCCAAAUAAUUUUUCAAGUAAUAAAAUCCAUUACAUAAAUUUUCACCAAAAUAUCUCUAAGUAAAUCUUACCUGGGAAUUUUUCUACGGAUUUUAAAAAUAUAUAUUUGUUUCCAUAUACUUGCGGAUUUACCUAGAGAUAAAAUACCCACCGAUAUAUUUCCCCAAGUAAUGUCGCAAGUAAUAAUUUCCCAGGUAAACCCCCAAGAAUAAAUCUCCACCAAAAUGCGCAGCACAAAAUUCCCAAAUAAUUUUUCAGGUAAUAAAAUCCAUUACAUAAAUUUCCAUCAAAAUAUCUCUAAGUAAAUCCGUAGGAUAAAUUACCUGAAAAUUUUUCUACAGAUUUAAAAAAUAUAUGUAUUUGUCCAUAUACCUGCAGAUUUACCUAGAGAUAAAAUAUCCACCGAUAUAUUUCUCCAGGUAAUGUCACAAGUAAUAAUUUUGCAGGUAAAUCCCCAAGAAUAAAUUUCCAGCAAAAUGAGAAACACAAAAUCCCCAAAUAAUUUCCUAUGUAAUAAAAUUAAUUACAUAAAUUUCCACCAAAACUUCUCUUAUAAGUAAAUUCGUAGGAUAAAUUACCUAGGAAUUUUUCUACGGAUUUAAUAAAUAUAUAUAUAUUUGUCCAUAUUCCUGCGAAUUUACCUAGAAAUAAAAUACCCACCGAUACAUUUCCCCAGCUAAUGUCGCAAGUAAUAAUUUCUCAGGUAAAUCCCCAGCAAAAUGCGCAGCACAAAAUCCCCAAAUAUUCAUUACAUAAUUUUACACCAAAAUAUAUCUAAGUAAAUCCGUAGGAUAACUUACCUAGAGAUUUUUCUACGUAUUUAAAAUAUAUAUAUAUUUGUCCAUAUACCUGCGGAUUUACCCACAGAUAAAAUACCUGCCAAUAUAUAUUCCCAGGUAAUGUCGCAAGUAAUAAUUUCGCAGGUAAAUUCCCAAGAAUAAAUUCCCAGCAAAAUUCACAUCACAAAAUCCCCAAUUAAUUUCCUAGGUUAUAAAAUCCAUUACAUAAAUUUCCAUCAAAAUAUCUCUAAGUAAAUCCGUAGGAUAAAUUACCUAGGGAUUUUUCUAUGGAUUUAAAAAUAUAUAUAUUUGUCCAUAUACUUACGGAUUUACCUAGAGAUAAAAUACCCACUGAUAUAUUUCCCCAAGUAAUGCCACAAGUAUGAAAUUUGCGCAAUAUGGCGCCAAAUUUACCUGCGGAAUUUGUUGCAAAUAUAUAAUUCGCAGGUAAUAUAUUUUAAUGUUGAGGAAUUUAAUAUUUUCGUAGAUAAAUCUGCAUAUAUUUUUUGUGAUAUUAUUCCCUAGGUAAAAUCCCCAUGGAAUUUACAGUUUUCUAGUAGUGAUUGAGCGCAUGAUUUAUUUCCCAAGUCAUAAUAAGGGACUUUGCAUUUCUGGAGUUAUCUAUAUAUUGGAUUACUCAAGUAGAUUAAUCAUUGUUGCAUUUGACCUUAAAAAAAUUAUCACGUUGUGCAAUGCUUUAAGUUAUCAAUGGAGACGUGAUUACAAGGUGAUAGAAGUGCAGGGCAAAUUAGCCGUCCAGGAUCGUUCCUCAAAGAAUGUGAAUUUGUGGAUUUUAGGUGACCCUCAUAGAGAGGAGUGGCAGAGUUACACCAUUUGCUUUCCUCCACACUUGAACAAUAUUAUUGAUACUUACAAAAUCUGCAGUUGUUGUGACGGAGAGAUUUUAAUUUUCUUGAUCAGGUUAAAUGCUUCUGUUGAAGUUCAAUCCUGUUAUGGUUAUGAGGUUGGGAAAAAAAGCUGGAAAGAUUUGAAAACUUCAUUGUUUUCGGUAAAAGAUUGGAUUGAGGAAGACACCUAUACUUAGGUGGUGUGAUUAAUUUGAAUUUGCAUUGCCAGAUCUACUUCCUAGG